ACCGUGAAACUGCGAAUGGCUCAUUAAAUCAGUUAUAGUUUAUUUGAUGGUACCUUGCUACAUGGAUAACUGUGGUAAUUCUAGAGCUAAUACAUGCAAUAAAGCCCCGACUUCCGGAAGGGGUGUAUUUAUUAGAUAAAAAACCAACGCGGUUCGCCGCUCCUUUGGUGAUUCAUAAUAACUUCUCGAAUCGCACGGCCUUGUGCUGGCGAUGCUUCAUUCAAAUAUCUGCCCUAUCAACUUUCGAUGGUAGGAUAGUGGCCUACCAUGGUUUCAACGGGUAACGGGGAAUUAGGGUUCGAUUCCGGAGAGGGAGCCUGAGAAACGGCUACCACAUCCAAGGAAGGCAGCAGGCGCGCAAAUUACCCAAUCCCGACACGGGGAGGUAGUGACAAUAAAUAACAAUAUAGGGCCCUUUCGGGUCUUAUAAUUGGAAUGAGUACAAUUUAAAUCCCUUAACGAGGAACAAUUGGAGGGCAAGUCUGGUGCCAGCAGCCGCGGUAAUUCCAGCUCCAAUAGCGUAUAUUAAAGUUGUUGCAGUUAAAAAGCUCGUAGUUGAACUUCAGACCUGGCCGGAUGGUCUGCCUCACGGUAUGUACUGUCUCGGCCGGGCCUUACCUCUUGGUGAGCCAUCAUGUCCUUCACUGGGUGUGGUGGGGAACCAGGACUUUUACCUUGAGAAAAUUAGAGUGUUCAAAGCAGGCCUACGCCCGAAUACAUUAGCAUGGAAUAAUAAAAUAGGACGUGCGGUUCUAUUUUGUUGGUUUCUAGAGUCGCCGUAAUGAUUAAUAGGGAUAGUUGGGGGCAUUAGUAUUCAGUUGCUAGAGGUGAAAUUCUUGGAUUUACUGAAGACUAACUACUGCGAAAGCAUUUGCCAAGGAUGUUUUCAUUAAUCAAGAACGAAGGUUAGGGGAUCGAAAACGAUCAGAUACCGUUGUAGUCUUAACAGUAAACUAUGCCGACUAGGGAUCGGGCGAACUCAAUUUUAUGUGGCGCUCGGCACCUUACGAGAAAUCAA
This 1018-nucleotide ribosomal RNA is filed under the name Hydnellum peckii (bleeding tooth fungus). RNAcentral describes it as "SSU rRNA". It matches the Rfam family "Eukaryotic small subunit ribosomal RNA", at positions 78 to 1101 of the family's 1831-position model. The record is from RNAcentral. Lineage: Eukaryota; Fungi; Basidiomycota; Agaricomycetes; Thelephorales; Thelephoraceae.